RNAcentral lists this unclassified non-coding RNA (364 nucleotides) under uncultured Microcystis sp. Its description in RNAcentral is "partial 16S-23S ribosomal RNA intergenic spacer". The stretch from base 136 to 209 matches the Rfam family "tRNA". Lineage: Bacteria; Bacillati; Cyanobacteriota; Cyanophyceae; Chroococcales; Microcystaceae. The record is from RNAcentral.
AAAGGGAGACCUAAUUCCGGUAGGAGACGAAAAAAAAGUAGUCCCAACCAAGAAUCAAUCCCAAAAGGUCGGAGCGAGGCGAAAUUGGCUUUCAAACUAGGUUCUGGGUUCACACAAGACCUGAAUCAGGAACAAGGGCUAUUAGCUCAGGUGGUUAGAGCGCACCCCUGAUAAGGGUGAGGUCCCUGGUUCGAGUCCAGGAUGGCCACCUGCACAGGUGGCAAAAACAAAGAAAAAAAGCUCCGAAUCAGCACCUUAUCUUACUUAUACAGUAAGAGAGAAUGCUGGCUCUGAGUUCAGAGUCCAGAGGAACCUUGAAAACUGCAUAGAGCUAGGUGAGAAAGCCAAAAAAGAAGACCGCAAG